AGAGUUUGAUCCUGGCUCAGAGUGAACGCUGGCGGCAGGCCUAACACAUGCAAGUCGAACGGCAGCACAGUGGUAGCAAUACCAUGGGUGGCGAGUGGCGGACGGGUGAGGAAUACAUCGGAAUCUACUUUUUCGUGGGGGAUAACGUAGGGAAACUUACGCUAAUACCGCAUACGACCUCCGGGUGAAAGCAGGGGACCUUCGGGCCUUGCGCGAUUAAAUGAGCCGAUGUCGGAUUAGCUAGUUGGCGGGGUAAAGGCCCACCAAGGCGACGAUCCGUAGCUGGUCUGAGAGGAUGAUCAGCCACACUGGAACUGAGACACGGUCCAGACUCCUACGGGAGGCAGCAGUGGGGAAUAUUGGACAAUGGGCGCAAGCCUGAUCCAGCCAUGCCGCGUGGGUGAAGAAGGCCUUCGGGUUGUAAAGCCCUUUUGUUGGGAAAGAAAAGCAGUCGGCCAAUACCCGAUUGUUCUGACGGUACCCAAAGAAUAAGCACCGGCUAACUUCGUGCCAGCAGCCGCGGUAAUACGAAGGGUGCAAGCGUUACUCGGAAUUACUGGGCGUAAAGCGUGCGUAGGUGGUGGUUUAAGUCCGUUGUGAAAGCCCUGGGCUCAACCUGGGAAUUGCAGUGGAUACUGGGUCACUAGAGUGUGGUAGAGGGUAGCGGAAUUCCCGGUGUAGCAGUGAAAUGCGUAGAGAUCGGGAGGAACAUCUGUGGCGAAGGCGGCUACCUGGACCAACACUGACACUGAGGCACGAAAGCGUGGGGAGCAAACAGGAUUAGAUACCCUAGUAGUCC
RNAcentral lists this ribosomal RNA (799 nucleotides) under uncultured bacterium. RNAcentral's name for it is "bacterial SSU rRNA". It matches the Rfam family "Bacterial small subunit ribosomal RNA", at positions 8 to 796 of the family's 1533-position model. The record is from RNAcentral.